UACGAAGUUCCGUUAAUUGAUUAUGACGUGCUUGCACUGAAUGAGAUUUUAACACGAAGUGAGUGGCGGACGGGUGAGUAACACGUGGGUAACCUGCCCAGAAGCAGGGGAUAACACCUGGAAACAGAUGCUAAUACCGUAUAACAGAGAAAACCGCCUGGUUUUCUUUUAAAAGAUGGCUCUGCUAUCACUUCUGGAUGGACCCGCGGCGCAUUAGCUAGUUGGUGAGGUAACGGCUCACCAAGGCGAUGAUGCGUAGCCGACCUGAGAGGGUAAUCGGCCACAUUGGGACUGAGACACGGCCCAGACUCCUACGGGAGGCAGCAGUAGGGAAUCUUCCACAAUGGACGCAAGUCUGAUGGAGCAACGCCGCGUGAGUGAAGAAGGGUUUCGGCUCGUAAAGCUCUGUUGUUAAAGAAGAACGUGGGUGAGAGUAACUGUUCACCCAGUGACGGUAUUUAACCAGAAAGCCACGGCUAACUACGUGCCAGCAGCCGCGGUAAUACGUAGGUGGCAAGCGUUAUCCGGAUUUAUUGGGCGUAAAGCGAGCGCAGGCGGUCUUUUAAGUCUAAUGUGAAAGCCUUCGGCUCAACCGAAGAAGUGCAUUGGAAACUGGGAGACUUGAGUGCAGAAGAGGACAGUGGAACUCCAUGUGUAGCGGUGAAAUGGGUAGAUAUAUGGAAGAACACCAGUGGCGAAGGCGGCUGUCUGGUCUGUAACUGACGCUGAGGCUCGAAAGCAUGGGUAGCGAACAGGAUUAGAUACCCUCAGG
RNAcentral lists this ribosomal RNA (772 nucleotides) under Pediococcus acidilactici. Its description in RNAcentral is "bacterial SSU rRNA". It matches the Rfam family "Bacterial small subunit ribosomal RNA", at positions 56 to 790 of the family's 1533-position model. The record is from RNAcentral. Lineage: Bacteria; Bacillati; Bacillota; Bacilli; Lactobacillales; Lactobacillaceae.